CCUACGGGUGGCAGCAGUGAGGAAUAUUGGUCAAUGGACGAGAGUCUGAACCAGCCAAGUCGCGUGAAGGAUGACUGCCCUAUGGGUUGUAAACUUCUUUUGUAUGGGAAUAAAACAGGGUAUGCAUACCCUCUUGUAUGUACCAUAUGAAUAAGGAUCGGCUAACUCCGGGCCAGCAGCCGCGGUAAUACGGAGGAUCCGAGCGUUACCCGGAUUUAUUGGGCUUAAAGGGAGCGUAGGUGGAUUGUUAAGUCAGGUGUGAAAGUUUGGGGCUCAACCUUAGAAUUGCAGUUGAUACUGGGAGUCUGGAGUACAGUAGAGGUGGGCGGAAUUCGGGGUGUAGCGGUGAAAUGCUUAGAUAUCACGAAGAACUCCGAUGGCGAAGGCAGCUCACUGGAC
This 399-nucleotide ribosomal RNA is filed under the name uncultured bacterium. Its description in RNAcentral is "partial 16S ribosomal RNA". It matches the Rfam family "Bacterial small subunit ribosomal RNA", at positions 338 to 734 of the family's 1533-position model. The record is from RNAcentral.